This 74-nucleotide microRNA precursor is filed under the name Myotis lucifugus (little brown bat). RNAcentral's name for it is "mir-9193 microRNA precursor family". It matches the Rfam family "mir-9193 microRNA precursor family". Lineage: Eukaryota; Metazoa; Chordata; Mammalia; Chiroptera; Vespertilionidae. The record is from Rfam by way of RNAcentral.
UGGGGGGAGGGGAGGUCCCUUAGUUUGGAUUGCGAGAGGGUGUAGGCCAGGCCUAAGGACCCCACCAGUGCAUG